This 312-nucleotide unclassified non-coding RNA is filed under the name uncultured Physcia. Its description in RNAcentral is "sequence contains ITS1". The stretch from base 1 to 105 matches the Rfam family "5.8S ribosomal RNA", at positions 50 to 154 of the family's 154-position model. The record is from RNAcentral. Lineage: Eukaryota; Fungi; Ascomycota; Lecanoromycetes; Caliciales; Physciaceae.
GAAAUGCGAUAAGUAGUGUGAAUUGCAGAAUUCCGUGAAUCAUCGAAUCUUUGAACGCACAUUGCGCCCUUUGGCAUUCCGAAGGGCAUACCUGUUCGAGCGUCAUUUCAAACCUCAAGCACAGCUUGGUUUUGGGUGUCUUUUUGUCUUGCCUCCGCAGGACUCGCCUUAAAUUUAUCGGCUGUCUGCAUGUCAACUCCGGCGCCCAGUACAUUGUGGCACCGUGUUGUGCUGUACAGAUGCGCCGUACAACACUGACCUAUUAUUUUCUGUUUUGACCUCGGAUCAGGUAGGAAUACCCGCUGAACUUAA